RNAcentral lists this long non-coding RNA (629 nucleotides) under Chrysemys picta bellii (western painted turtle). RNAcentral's name for it is "lncRNA (ENSCPBG00000017655.1)". Lineage: Eukaryota; Metazoa; Chordata; Testudines; Emydidae. The record is from RNAcentral.
AAUCUCAACAACUAGCCUUGUGCUUUGGUUCAAUCCCCCUGUAUGAUUGCUACUGUACUCUUCCAAUUUCAGUGUCACCACAGAUAUCGAUCAUGGCUUAAUUAUACCAAAGGAUGACAUGAAGUUGUCACACGGGAUGCUGACUGCUUGAUGACUAAUGCAUGCUUUACCAUUGCAUUAACUGAGGACCACAUAAAAUUGCUUCACUAAUUCAGAGCAGGACUAGCAGAGCUCCUGAGAAAUUGGUGUUUAGGUGCAGCUGGACAAAAGCUCUUUCCUCAAGAACUGAACCAAGCCCCAAACAAAACUUCUCAGCUAAUGAACACCAAAAGAGGUACCUUCAAUUAACAGAAUCCCUUCCAUCGUGGAGACCCCCUUUUUGUAGGAGCCUCCAGGGCACAUUCUCAGUUUCAUAGCUUCAACAGAGCCAUGCUGCUUUGGGGCAGGAAGAUUCUGGUGUCUGCUGGGAUGCUACAUAGAUGAUUCUGGCCUUUUGCUCACCCCAGAAACACUGCAGGGUUUGAGGGUUGGUUCCAUGACCCAUUGUGUGUGGGGGCGGGGGAGGGAGAGUCACAAACCCUUGACAGAGCAGUGUGGGUGAUUCUCACAGAGGAUUUUCCUCACUUUAG